This 487-nucleotide ribosomal RNA is filed under the name uncultured bacterium. Its description in RNAcentral is "bacterial SSU rRNA". It matches the Rfam family "Bacterial small subunit ribosomal RNA", at positions 17 to 518 of the family's 1533-position model. The record is from RNAcentral.
AUAUGGCUCAGGACGAACGCUGGCGGCACGCUUAACACAUGCAAGUCGAACGGAGUAUCAUGGAGCUUGCUUCAAGAUACUUAGUGGCGGACGGGUGAGUAACACGUGAGCAACCUGCCUUGAGAGUGGAAUAGCUUCUGGAAACGGAUGGUAAUACCGCAUGAUGUGUUUUACCGCAUGAUAGAACAACCAAAGAUUUAUCGCUCAAAGAUGGGCUCGCGUCUGAUUAGAUAGUUGGUGAGGUAACGGCUCACCAAGUCGACGAUCAGUAGCCGGACUGAGAGGUUGAACGGCCACAUUGGGACUGAGACACGGCCCAGACUCCUACGGGAGGCAGCAGUGGGGGAUAUUGCACAAUGGGCGCAAGCCUGAUGCAGCCAACGCCGCGUGCAGGAAGACGGUCUUCGGAUUGUAAACUGUUGUCCUCUGUGACGAUAAUGACGGUAGCAGAGGAGGAAGCCACGGCUAACUACGUGCCAGCCGCCGC